Molecule: ribosomal RNA, 253 nt
Filed under: uncultured bacterium
Lineage: Bacteria
Description: partial 16S ribosomal RNA
Rfam family: Bacterial small subunit ribosomal RNA
Source: RNAcentral
UACGGGGGGAGCAAGCGUUGUUCGGAAUCACUGGGCGUAAAGCGCACGUAGGCGGACUCUUAAGUCGGUGGUGAAAUCCUGGAGCUCAACUCCAGAACUGCCUUCGAUACUGAGAGUCUCGAGUCCGAGAGAGGUGAGUGGAACUGCGAGUGUAGAGGUGAAAUUCGUAGAUAUUCGCAAGAACACCAGUGGCGAAGGCGGCUCACUGGCUCGGUACUGACGCUGAGGUGCGAAAGCGUGGGGAGCAAACAGG